RNAcentral lists this unclassified non-coding RNA (391 nucleotides) under uncultured fungus. Its description in RNAcentral is "partial contains 5.8S ribosomal RNA and internal transcribed spacer 2". The stretch from base 1 to 133 matches the Rfam family "5.8S ribosomal RNA", at positions 22 to 154 of the family's 154-position model. Lineage: Eukaryota; Fungi. The record is from RNAcentral.
UGGUUCUCGCAUCGAUGAAGAACGCAGCGAAUUGCGAUAAGUAAUGUGAAUUGCAGAAUUCAGUGAAUCAUCGAAUCUUUGAACGCACCUUGCGCUCUCUGGUAUUCCGGAGAGCACGCCUGUUCGAGUGUCUUGAAGUUCUCAUACUGUACUGCUUGUUUACAAGCAGUACGGUGUGGAGUUGGGCAUUGUCGUCUCUUGCUAGACUGACUUGCCUCAAAUGCAGUAGCUGAUCCUUGUGCUGACUUGGUUCUACUGAGCGUGAUUAAGUAUCUGACCGCUCAGGACAUUGUCUUUCGGGAUGGUGGCCAGGAUAGUCUCGGGUUGCUUAUAAUCGUCUUCGGACAUACCUUUCAAAUUUGACCUCGAAUCAGGCGGGACUACCCGCUGA